This is a long non-coding RNA of Cloeon dipterum, 993 nucleotides long. RefSeq lists it as uncharacterized. NCBI's taxonomy places the organism in Eukaryota, Metazoa, Arthropoda, Insecta, Ephemeroptera, Baetidae. The record is from RefSeq and is a predicted model, not a curated record. The transcript is spliced from 3 exons.
CGCACGCAGACUCGAAAAUUUCGCGACGUCCGAACGGAAUCUUGAUGGAUACCGCCCCGUUGUUUAGUUUCAAUCGGUGAUUUUGCCGUCGCCACACUGGCGGACGGCGGACGCAGGUAGAUUUGUUCCUCUCAAGACGAACAUCGCCGCGCUACUGCCAAAGUAUCAAAUUUAAACGCGUGUCUCAAAAUUUAACUAAAUUUAUAUUUUAUACUUGGCCACUACAGAAAGUUCCAGAUUAACUUCACGGACUUAAUUAAUUCAUUAUUACCCAAAAUCCCAUUCUUGGUCCAAUCUGCUAAUAUUUUUAAGAUUUUUAACUUAUACAUGAAUUUGGUCGAUAAUUUUCCAUAUUUUGAUGAGCGUUUGAGGCCACUUUAUCACUUCCCACUGGAUCCGGCAAACACUCACCCGCACAUCCAAAUCAUCUGCACGCGGUGACGUGCUUUGAACAAGACUGUCGAACAAGGUCAGAAAUAAUCAACAGUCGCUGCUGCUUCAUAAAAUACCAAAUGGAGAACGAGAGGCAUCCAUCACCAAAGAGCAGACCACGGAAACUCAAAUUUCAAAAAUAUUUAAGGUUGACACUGCCUGAUUUGAAUCCCGAAAAUAUUGCGUCAAAAACCAACGACCCACGAAGAGGCAACACAAGUGGGACAUCGAAAAAGACUGAAAAAAUCGACCAAAGUGACGAAUCAAGCGACAGUGAGACGUUGAGCAACAAUUUGCAGUCCGUUUUAGAAGACAUCCACCAAAUGGGCCGCGCACUCGGGCUCAGAAAGGACUCAGAUGCUGAAUUCAGCUCGGACAGCGAUUACGAUUCUGAUCACGGCAACAACAACCACAUCAAAAAGCAAUUUUAAAUACGCGAUUUUCGGUUUGAAAUCAAAUUUUAAUAUAAAAUGUUACAUAAGCAAGUAGUGCAUAUUGGAACAACGUGAAUGAAACGACAAUAAUUAUUAUUAUUGAAAUAAAACAAAAUUGAAAUGAAAA